This is a non-coding RNA of Streptomyces sp., 75 nucleotides long. It matches the Rfam family "ASpks TB sRNA". The record is from Rfam. NCBI's taxonomy places the organism in Bacteria, Bacillati, Actinomycetota, Actinomycetes, Kitasatosporales, Streptomycetaceae.
CUUCACCGACCCCAGCCACAGCGGCUGAUCCUCGGGCCGGUCCUGCCCGUACGUGGCCAGCAGCGCCUGCGCCUC